Non-coding RNA from Microcebus murinus (gray mouse lemur), 264 nucleotides. NCBI's taxonomy places the organism in Eukaryota, Metazoa, Chordata, Mammalia, Primates, Cheirogaleidae. The record is from RefSeq and is a predicted model, not a curated record.
AACUGCCUAAUAUGAAAGCUGGAGAGCCUCCAAAAUCAUUAGAGAUGACCACACUUGGCAUGCAGCUCCUUAGGCUAAGAGUGACGUGCCCAUCAUGAAGGAAGCUUCUCUGAGGCUGGCGAGAGCAACUUGUCUGCUUUGAGAAAUGCAGAUCUAUCAGGACCCAGAGCCGGGCUCUGAGAAAGCUGUCAUUUCAUGUCUCUAAAACAGCCUCUGAUUUAAUGUACAAGAUGUCAAGAAGUAAAGGACAAUAAAAUAAAAACC